This 557-nucleotide ribosomal RNA is filed under the name Pediculus humanus (human louse). Its description in RNAcentral is "partial 12S ribosomal RNA". Lineage: Eukaryota; Metazoa; Arthropoda; Insecta; Psocodea; Pediculidae. The record is from RNAcentral.
UAAAGUCAAAUUAAUUGGUUAAAGCUAAUAAAUAACUACUAUUAAGUACAACAACUCUACUUAUUAUUGUAAGAGUAAAAUCUUUAUAAAUAAGAUAGGAAUGUGUUAAUGUAACAUUAAUUCUCUUACGAGGCGCUAGCAUAAAGACUAGGAUUAGAUACCCUAUUAUGGGCGUGAGUAUGAAAGUUUAUUAAGUUAAUAGCCUUAAUUAAAGCAAAACCUAUUUACUAUGGCGGCUGUUAGUCUCACCAGAGUCGUAUGUCCUUAAACGAAACUGCGCGAUCAUCUUACCUUUUAACUUUUGCUAAUAUAAAAUAAUUACAUUAUAGCAAUCUGGCACGUCGCUGUACUAAAAGUGAAGAUUUUAAAUAACUCAUCUUCUAAUUACUUAUUAGCAUUUAUUAAUAACGUACAAGUCAAGACGCCGUUUUAAGAGGCUUAAGAUGUACGAUUUAAUUGAUUUGAUAGAAUUUAUAAGAAUGAAAACUUUCUUUAUUAAAAUAAUUUGGAAGUAAAAUAGGGUUAUUAUUCUUAUUUGAAAUGAGCCACCAAUAAGU